This 472-nucleotide long non-coding RNA is filed under the name Mytilus galloprovincialis (Mediterranean mussel). The record is from RNAcentral. Lineage: Eukaryota; Metazoa; Mollusca; Bivalvia; Mytilida; Mytilidae.
UUGAAAUUCAAUAUUUGAAUUUAAUAUGUAAAUAAAUGUAUGAAAAGUAAAUAAAAAAGAAUCUAUUUUUUUGUUUUGAGUUUCAACUUAUAUAUUGUUGAUUUGAUUCGUUGCAUACCAAUUUUCGUGGUUUUCGUGGGUACAUGUGAAUGUUCAAUGAAUAACAUAUUUUCUAUAGGAUGUGUAUACAGGGAUAAGUAAACCACGAAAUAUAAUACCCACGAAAAUGCAGCUUUUCCCCAAUCCACGAAAAUUGAUACCCACAAAAAUAAAUGAAUCCACAGUAACACAAAAUUCACAAAAAGUAGGUAAUUUUAUUGAAAUAUGAUUAUAUAUAUAUUUAAAAAGUUUUUCGCAUUAUGACGGGUGAUAUAGAAAAUUGAUAUUUCUGCAUUUUGUUUGUUUGUAGUAAUUAAUCAAAACAUUCUUUCAAUAUGAGAUUUUAAUUUACUCGAUAUAUAAGAAAAAUCCA